RNAcentral lists this long non-coding RNA (1333 nucleotides) under Triticum aestivum (bread wheat). Its description in RNAcentral is "long non-coding RNA (TAES_LNC027862)". The record is from RNAcentral. Lineage: Eukaryota; Viridiplantae; Streptophyta; Magnoliopsida; Poales; Poaceae.
UCUCUUCUGUAAGUUACAAAAUCUGAAACAGUAACAAUGUACAAGACCCAGUACUCUACAUCACACUAACUCUGAAAGGCAAAUGACUCACAAAAUGAUACCAAUUACCCAGAAAACAGGGAUCUACACUAAUUUGUUUGUCGAGCUUACCUUUCAUUAGCAUGGGGUACAUAAUGCAAAUAACAAAUGGAGAGCCAAAUCAAGAGCAUUUGAAUCAGCGCCAAACAGUAGAUCAAAUGGAUUUGGUAACAUAAAUCCCACACUUAAACUCUUCCCAUCAAUAAAAGUCAGGAUCUAAAAGAAACAAUGAGAAAACAAUAGCUAGAUAAGAACAGCGCACCAUCCUUUCUAGUUUCUACAGAUUCGAAUUUUAACAAACAUGUUGCUUAACUUAUAGCACUGCUAUCCUGGCAUAGUAUAAUCACUAUCAGACAAGUAAAACAUGACAGACUAUUAACUGAAACGACAAGCAUCGGUCUACUUAUGCAUCUGGUACUUCAGUAGAGACGGGUUCUUAACUUCUUAUGCUACAGCAGCUACGUCUUCUAACUCUUAUUUAUCAGAUGGAGCAGCUUUGUUGUCCUUGCCAUGCAUUGCCGACAAGUCAUCACAAUCAAUCUAUUCAUCUAACCAAAGAGAAAUGCACAAAAAAUUCCAUCUAUCACCAAACAGAAAGGCACCGUCACAGUUGUGCUGUACAGAUUACUACGCAACAACGAACAAAUUUGAGACAGCAAUCCAUCCAACCCCAAUCCCGACCACCAAACCAACACGGGGACCUACUCCAGAUGUUCCAUCUCAGACCACAAAUGAAAUAGCCUCUCAAACCCAUGACCCUAGUAACGUCGACAGGUAUGAAAUCUGAAAACGGCCAAAGGGAUUGAAUGAGAGUUACCGGACCUUCCUCUUGUCUAGCGUUGCCACUCAGAUGGAAAAUUCAUGAUGGAUGAUUUUACCCAUUAGCAAUAAAGAAGUGAACACCCGUCGUCCUAGGUACCGGCAAUCACUUCUCUCCAUGAUAUAGCAUGACAACCACGCUUCAGUGCAAAUAAAAAGAGCAUACCAACAUGCAAGAGGAAGAUACCUGAACUUUCAAGAGGGAUAUAGCUCCUGCCUGGUCAUCUUCUUCUGACUGAAGUUUGAUUUUUCCCUGAAUAUAUGUGCGAUGGUGAGCGCUGCACUUACUUUGCCAGUCCCAGCUGUAAUAAAAUUUGUCAACAUCAAUAGACCAUAUUCCAUGAAUACUCUUGCUUUCUCAAGGGGAUUAAAAUUUAGGGGUCCAACAAUUUCAGAUUUGGGGAGAAAAUCAAAGAUGAAUGUGUAGAGCCUGAUG